GCGGUGGAGGACAUGACUCAGGCUCUCCAGCAGCCAUGAUGUCUUGGUACCAGCGUUCGAGGUUAAUAGGCGGCAUUGCAUUCCUGCUCAGCUCAGGUUGGCUCUGAGUGAUGAAAAGCAUCAAGCCAGUAAACACCGUCAUGACCAGCUAACAGCUCUUCAAACUGAAGGAAGUUGGGAGAAAUCACUCGUCAGGGGAAUAAAAUCCUAUCCUCCCAUAGAGAAUUCACUCAUUACCUCUUGAUGCGUGCUCUCGGUGCUGCUGGACUCCUCUCUCUGUGUGUCCUCCUCGUGGUCCCUCGCCCUCUGAGCUCUCUCCACUCCCUGAGGGGAAACCUUCUCCCCUGUGGCCGAGCUGCUUCCUCUGGUCGUCCCCGGCAGACCACUCCCCACUACCUCCGCCAGCUCCACAGCACUAUCUUCAUGAUUGUACUCCGCACACAGAUUCAAGAUGGUCUCCAGCCUCUGUCGCUCCUAUAGAAGAUAUGAAAAAUAUUAAUAGAUGACAGUAUCAUCUAUUUAAACUCAGAUUGCAUUAAACCACAUUUUAGUGUAGGAGAUUUUUUUUUCCUUUUUCCUUGUGUUGUGUUGGGUUUGCUUGUGGCCUGCUCUACUGUCACUCUGAACAAUAGGCCUUAAUCUAUUACACCGACAAUGAGAAAUAUGUAAUCGUCAUUAUUGUUAAAGAAUAAUGAGUCUGACAAGACGAGGGGCAAUUGUGAGUGAUGUACAGCAGCUGAAUCACUGUUGUUUCCACAACCACCAGCCCACUUUUGUCUGGUAUUUAAAUGAUCUCAACUGCUGGUAAAACAAGCCCAACGCCUCUGUAGUGGUUAUUGGCUUUCACAGCCAGACAGUUGUUUAUUCCUUGAGUAACACAAUAAAAAAAAGUUGUGCAUUA
Molecule: long non-coding RNA, 901 nt
Organism: Betta splendens (Siamese fighting fish)
Lineage: Eukaryota; Metazoa; Chordata; Actinopteri; Anabantiformes; Osphronemidae
Exons: 2
Source: RefSeq, a predicted model, not a curated record